GACAUUGCAGCUUCAAGAAUGGCAAAGAAAUGGUCACUAGUUGCAGGCUUUACACUGCCAGCAUGAAUCAGCUGCAAUGCAAGCUUUGACGCUUUACUAAACUUUGGAAUGUUCUUUAUAUGUGAUGCUAUUUUUUGCAUGGCUUCAAUAACUUGCGUCUCUGAGGCAUCCGUGGUUGUUUUAAACCUCAGUCGUUUUUCAGGAGCAGAAGCUGCAAGUCAUCAACAGCCACUUACUUUACCCAACUCAAAUAUUCACCAAACAACAACAAACAAAUAGUAACAAGUUGUAGGCCUAGGACCAUGAACGAGAGAAAUGCUCAAAACAUGAAUUGCUAGAAUAUGUAUCACAGAAAGUGGAUAGAUUAAUCCAUGAAGUACGCCUCAAUCAUAAAAUAGCAUAUAUGGCCUCUUUCUUUGCAAUACUAAAUCACAACAACUACUACUACUACUAUGACUAUUACUAUUACUAUGCCUCAAUCCCAAACAAGUUGGAUCUAUAUGGAUAAUAACUUUCUCCAUUUAUCAUCUCAGGCCAAUGAUGCAAAUGUAAAUAAAAAGCAUUAGGAGUUCUGUAUAUUUUCUAAAGCCUAAAGGUACAAAUAUCUGAAAGGUUAAACCACUCCUAGAAAGCACUGCUACCUACUGUAGUAGUGCUAAAGCCUAAAACAUAUUCUCAAUUAAUAUAGCCUACAUGCAUAGACUAAUUUGCUUCAGCUUGUAUCACUAGAGUAACAGGACGCAACAAUUGGAUUGAGGUUGCAGCCUUUUCUAGCUCCCAAUUUAAAUUUUUUUGUCCGCCACCAAAAUUGACCUGAAGGAUUGGAAAAUUCGAAAAAGGAGCACCACAACAACCCGAAUUGAAGUAGAGGAACUUAAAAUUAAACAAGCCACCUAUCUAUUUGAUCAAACUUGGAACACAAACCCUAGAAAGUUCGAACUUAUUAUGGGUAAGAACAGAAAAUUGACCUACUUUCAGGCUGUGAUUCUGCAGGUGGUUUGGAACGUUUGAGGGCACUCUUCAGAGCAGGAGGCGGAAGUGGAGGUUGCGGUGGUGGGGGUGCUUCCGAAGCCUCAGUAAGAGUGACGGCGGAACCAUUGACGGAAGUUAGUGGCGCUGCCGGAGGAGGCAAAUCUUC
RNAcentral lists this long non-coding RNA (1138 nucleotides) under Nicotiana tabacum (common tobacco). Its description in RNAcentral is "long non-coding RNA (NTAB_LNC005202)". The record is from RNAcentral. Lineage: Eukaryota; Viridiplantae; Streptophyta; Magnoliopsida; Solanales; Solanaceae.